AGUGAACGCUGGCGGUAGGCCUAACACAUGCAAGUCGAACGGCAGCACAGUAAGAGCUUGCUCUUACGGGUGGCGAGUGGCGGACGGGUGAGGAAUACAUCGGACUCUACUUUUUCGUGGAGGAUAACGUAGGGAAACUUACGCUAAUACCGCAUACGACCUACGGGUGAAAGCAGGGGAUCUUCGGACCUUGCGCGAUUGAAUGAGCCGAUGUCGGAUUAGCUAGUUGGCGGGGUAAAGGCCCACCAAGGCGACGAUCCGUAGCUGGUCUGAGAGGAUGGUCAGCCACACUGGAACUGAGACACGGUCCAGACUACUACGGGAGGCAGCAGUGGGGAAUAUUGGACAAUGGGCGCAAGCCUGAUCCAGCCAUACCGCGUGGGUGAAGAAGGCCUUCGGGUUGUAAAGCCCUUUUGUUGGGAAAGAAAAGCAGCAGGUUAAUACCCCGCUGUUCUGACGGUACCCAAAGAAUAAGCACCGGCUAACUUCGUG
Molecule: ribosomal RNA, 492 nt
Filed under: uncultured bacterium
Lineage: Bacteria
Description: partial 16S ribosomal RNA
Rfam family: Bacterial small subunit ribosomal RNA
Source: RNAcentral